ACUAACGAGCGCAACCCUUGUCCUUAGUUACCAGCACGUUAUGGUGGGCACUCUAAGGAGACUGCCGGUGACAAACCGGAGGAAGGUGGGGAUGACGUCAAGUCAUCAUGGCCCUUACGGCCUGGGCUACACACGUGCUACAAUGGUCGGUACAAAGGGUUGCCAAGCCGCGAGGUGGAGCUAAUCCCAUAAAACCGAUCGUAGUCCGGAUCGCAGUCUGCAACUCGACUGCGUGAAGUCGGAAUCGCUAGUAAUCGUGAAUCAGAAUGUCACGGUGAAUACGUUCCCGGGCCUU
Molecule: ribosomal RNA, 295 nt
Filed under: uncultured Pseudomonas sp.
Lineage: Bacteria; Pseudomonadati; Pseudomonadota; Gammaproteobacteria; Pseudomonadales; Pseudomonadaceae
Description: partial 16S ribosomal RNA
Rfam family: Bacterial small subunit ribosomal RNA
Source: RNAcentral